Molecule: ribosomal RNA, 424 nt
Filed under: uncultured bacterium
Lineage: Bacteria
Description: bacterial SSU rRNA
Rfam family: Bacterial small subunit ribosomal RNA
Source: RNAcentral
GAGGAAUUUUGCGCAAUGGGGGAAACCCUGACGCAGCAACGCCGCGUGAGUGAUGAAGGCUUUCGGGUCGUAAAGCUCUGUCGAGUGGGAAGAAACAGCAGUGGUUAAUAUCCAUUGCCUUGACGGUACCACUAAAGGAAGCACCGGCUAACUCCGUGCCAGCAGCCGCGGUAAUACGGGGGGUGCAAGCGUUAUUCGGAAUUAUUGGGCGUAAAGGGUGCGUAGGCGGUUUUGUAAGUCAGAUGUUAAAUGCCGGGGCUUAACCUCGGAACUGCAUUUGAUACUGCAAGACUUGAGUAUGGGAGAGGGAAGCGGAAUUCCUGGUGUAGAGGUGGAAUUCGUAGAUAUCAGGAGGAACACCGGUGGCGAAGGCGGCUUCCUGGACCAAUACUGACGCUGAGGCACGAAGGCGUGGGGAGCAAAC